AGAGUUUGAUCAUGGCUCAGGAUGAACGCUGGCGGCGUGCCUAACACAUGCAAGUCGAGCGAUUCUCUUCGGAGAAGAGCGGCGGACGGGUGAGUAACGCGUGGGUAACCUGCCUCAUACACAUGGAUAACAUACCGAAAGGUAUGCUAAUACAAGAUAAUAUAAGAGAUUCGCAUGGGUCUCUUAUCAAAGCUUUUGCGGUAUGAGAUGGACCCGCGUCUGAUUAGCUAGCUGGUAAGGUAACGGCUUACCAAGGCGACGAUCAGUAGCCGACCUGAGAGGGUGAUCGGCCACAUUGGAACUGAGACACGGUCCAAACUCCUACGGGAGGCAGCAGUGGGGAAUAUUGCACAAUGGGCGAAAGCCUGAUGCAGCAACGCCGCGUGAGCGAUGAAGGCCUUCGGGUCGUAAAGCUCUGUCCUCAAGGAAGAUAAUGACGGUACUUGAGGAGGAAGCCCCGGCUAACUACGUGCCAGCAGCCGCGGUAAUACGUAGGGGGCUAGCGUUAUCCGGAUUUACUGGGCGUAAAGGGUGCGUAGGUGGUUUCUUAAGUCAGGAGUGAAAGGCUACGGCUCAACCGUAGUAAGCUCUUGAAACUGGGAAACUUGAGUGCAGGAGAGGAAAGUGGAAUUCCUAGUGUAGCGGUGAAAUGCGUAGAUAUUAGGGGGAACACCAGUAGCGAAGGCGGCUUUCUGGACUGUAACUGACACUGAGGCACGAAAGCGUGGGGAGCAAACAGGAUUAGAUACCCUGGUAGUCCACGCCGUAAACGAUGAGUACUAGGUGUCGGGGGUUACCCCCCUCGGUGCCGCAGCUAACGCAUUAAGUACUCCGCCUGGGGAGUACGCUCGCAAGAGUGAAACUCAAAUGAAUUGACGG
RNAcentral lists this ribosomal RNA (879 nucleotides) under uncultured bacterium. RNAcentral describes it as "bacterial SSU rRNA". It matches the Rfam family "Bacterial small subunit ribosomal RNA", at positions 8 to 916 of the family's 1533-position model. The record is from RNAcentral.